GGGGGUGGGAAAACUGAGCGAAUGCGACUCUCUGGUCUGUAACUGACGCUGAGGAGCGAAAGCGUGGGGAGCGAACAGGAUUAGAUACCCUGGUAGUCCACGCCGUAAACGAUGAGUGCUAAGUGUUAGGGGGUUUCCGCCCCUUAGUGCUGCUGCUAACGCAUUAAGCACUCCGCCUGGGGAGUACGGUCGCAAGACUGAAACUCAAAGGAAUUGACGGGGGCCCGCACAAGCGGUGGAGCAUGUGGUUUAAUUCGAAGCAACGCGAAGAACCUUACCAGGUCUUGACAUCCUCUGACAACCCUAGAGAUAGGGCUUUCCCUUCGGGGACAGAGUGACAGGUGGUGCAUGGUUGUCGUCAGCUCGUGUCGUGAGAUGUUGGGUUAAGUCCCGCAACGAGCGCAACCCUUGAUCUUAGUUGCCAGCAUUCAGUUGGGCACUCUAAGGUGACUGCCGGUGACAAACCGGAGGAAGGUGGGGAUGACGUCAAAUCAUCAUGCCCCUUAUGACCUGGGCUACACACGUGCUACAAUGGACAGAACAAAGGGCUGCAAGACCGCAAGGUUUUAGCCAAUCCCAUAAAUCUGUUUCUCAGUUCGGAUCGCAGUCUGCAACUCGACUGCGUGAAGCUGGAAUCGCUAGUAAAUCGCGGAUCAGCAUGCCGCGGUGAAAUACGUUCCCCGGGCCCUUGUACACACCGCCCCGUCACACCACGAGAGUUUGCAACACCCGAAGUCGGUGAGGUUACCUUUUAUGGAUCCAGCCGCCAAAGUGGGGGCAGAUGAUUGGGGUGAAUUCGUAACAAGGUAACCCAAU
RNAcentral lists this ribosomal RNA (816 nucleotides) under uncultured Bacillus sp. RNAcentral's name for it is "bacterial SSU rRNA". It matches the Rfam family "Bacterial small subunit ribosomal RNA", at positions 696 to 1505 of the family's 1533-position model. The record is from RNAcentral. Lineage: Bacteria; Bacillati; Bacillota; Bacilli; Caryophanales; Bacillaceae.